CAUUGACAGCCGCUAGAGGAGCUGCUGCGAUUCUAAGACUGAACGUCUAUAGGAAAGCAUUGAGUAAUGCUUUCCUAUGGGCGGUUUGAAUGCCCGUGCAGCUCUUGCCACACAUGCGCAUUCGGAGCUGAGAGGCGGAGGGAUACCCAGCGCCAAGGGAGUCCGGCGCUGGAGAAAGGUAAGUGCUGAAGACACACACACACUCACACUCUCACGAACAGACG
Non-coding RNA from Pelobates cultripes (western spadefoot toad), 224 nucleotides. NCBI's taxonomy places the organism in Eukaryota, Metazoa, Chordata, Amphibia, Anura, Pelobatidae. The record is from the annotation of a GenBank genome assembly.